RNAcentral lists this ribosomal RNA (612 nucleotides) under uncultured ciliate. RNAcentral describes it as "SSU rRNA". It matches the Rfam family "Eukaryotic small subunit ribosomal RNA", at positions 326 to 952 of the family's 1831-position model. The record is from RNAcentral. Lineage: Eukaryota; Ciliophora.
UGGUAGUGUAUUGGACAACCAUGGCUUUAACGGGUAACGGAGGAUUAGGGUUCGAUUCCGGAGAGGGAGCCUGAGAAACGGCUACCACAUCUAAGGAAGGCAGCAGGCGCGUAAAUUACCCAAUCCUAAUUCAGGGAGGUAGUGACAAGAAAUAACGGACUGGGGCUUAUGGUUCAGGAUUGCAAUGAGUAGAAUUUAAACCCCUUUAUGAGGAUCAAUUGGAGGGCAAGUUUGGUGCCAGCAGCCGCGGUAAUUCCAGCUCCAAUAGCAUAUAUUAAAGUUGUUGCAGUUAAAAAGCUUGUAGUUGAAUUUUUGGAGGGAUUCCAAUGUCCGUUCGAUACGUGUGCAGCGGAGUCCUUCCAUCCUUCUGUUAACCCUUCUCGGUAUUAACUUACUGGUUGGGGGUUCAGAUAUUUUACCUUGAGAAAAUUAGAGUGUUUCAGGCAGGCUUGCGCCCGAAUACAUUAGCAUGGAAUAAUAGAAUAGGACUUUGGUCUCCUUUGUUGGUUUGAGGGACUGGAGUAAUGAUUAAUAGGGACAGUUGGGGGCAUUAGUAUUUAAUUGUCAGAGGUGAAAUUCUCGGAUUUGUUAAAGACUAACUUAUGCGAAAGC